ACGAACGCUGGCGGCGUGCUUCACACCUGCAAGUCGAACGGAAAGGCCCUGCUUUUGUGGGGUGCUCGAGUGGCGAACGGGUGAGUAACACGUGAGUAACCUGCCCUUGACUUUGGGAUAACUUCAGGAAGCUGGGGCUAAUACCGGAUAGGAGCUCCUGCUGCAUGGUGGGGGUUGGAAAGUUUCGGCGGUUGGGGAUGGACUCGCGGCUUAUCAGCUUGUUGGUGGGGUAGUGGCUUACCAAGGCUUUGACGGGUAGCCGGCCUGAGAGGGUGACCGGCCACAUUGGGACUGAGAUACGGCCCAGACUCCUACGGGAGGCAGCAGUGGGGAAUAUUGCACAAUGGGCGGAAGCCUGAUGCAGCAACGCCGCGUGCGGGAUGACGGCCUUCGGGUUGUAAACCGCUUUCGCCUGUGACGAAGCGUGAGUGACGGUAAUGGGUAAAGAAGCACCGGCUAACUACGUG
RNAcentral lists this ribosomal RNA (467 nucleotides) under uncultured bacterium. Its description in RNAcentral is "partial 16S ribosomal RNA". It matches the Rfam family "Bacterial small subunit ribosomal RNA", at positions 29 to 507 of the family's 1533-position model. The record is from RNAcentral.